UUAAAUUGAAGAGUUUGAUCAUGGCUCAGAUUGAACGCUGGCGGCAGGCCUAACACAUGCAAGUCGAACGGUAGCACAGAGAGCUUGCUCUCGGGUGACGAGUGGCGGACGGGUGAGUAAUGUCUGGGAAACUGCCUGAUGGAGGGGGAUAACUACUGGAAACGGUGGCUAAUACCGCAUAACGUCGCAAGACCAAAGAGGGGGACCUUCGGGCCUCUUGCCAUCAGAUGUGCCCAGAUGGGAUUAGCUUGUUGGUGAGGUAACGGCUCAC
This 271-nucleotide ribosomal RNA is filed under the name Salmonella enterica subsp. enterica serovar Infantis str. 335-3. Its description in RNAcentral is "partial 16S ribosomal RNA". It matches the Rfam family "Bacterial small subunit ribosomal RNA", at positions 1 to 268 of the family's 1533-position model. The record is from RNAcentral. Lineage: Bacteria; Pseudomonadati; Pseudomonadota; Gammaproteobacteria; Enterobacterales; Enterobacteriaceae.